GAUGAAGAACGUAGCGAAAUGCGAUAAGUAAUGUGAAUUGCAGAAUUCAGUGAAUCAUCGAAUCUUUGAACGCACAUUGCGCCCGCCGGUAUUCCGGCGGGCAUGCCUGUCCGAGCGUCAUUUCACCACUCAAGCCCGGCUUGGUGUUGGACGGUUUUGGUGGGGACGUGCAGCCUCUCACCCCUCCUAAAGACAAUGACGGCGGCGUCGUUGGGACCCCCGGUACACUGAGCUUCUUAACUGAGCACGUACUGGACGCGGGUACGCGACGCACGGUCUGCCUCCCCUUUAAGGGAGAACUUUUUCUUAAGGUUGACCUCGGAUCAGGUAGGAAUACCCGCUGAACUUAAGCAUAUCAAUAAGCGGAGGA
This 370-nucleotide unclassified non-coding RNA is filed under the name soil metagenome. RNAcentral describes it as "partial contains 5.8S ribosomal RNA, internal transcribed spacer 2, and large subunit ribosomal RNA". The stretch from base 1 to 120 matches the Rfam family "5.8S ribosomal RNA", at positions 35 to 154 of the family's 154-position model. The record is from RNAcentral.